Non-coding RNA from Schistosoma rodhaini, 45 nucleotides. The record is from Rfam. Lineage: Eukaryota; Metazoa; Platyhelminthes; Trematoda; Strigeidida; Schistosomatidae.
AUCUAGCUGAGGAGUCCUAAAUAUGACGAAAUAAUCAUCUUGGAU